Molecule: transfer RNA, 73 nt
Rfam family: tRNA
About the family: Transfer RNA (tRNA) molecules are approximately 80 nucleotides in length. Their secondary structure includes four short double-helical elements and three loops (D, anti-codon, and T loops). Further hydrogen bonds mediate the characteristic L-shaped molecular structure. tRNAs have two regions of fundamental functional importance: the anti-codon, which is responsible for specific mRNA codon recognition, and the 3' end, to which the tRNAs corresponding amino acid is attached (by aminoacyl-tRNA synthetases). tRNAs cope with the degeneracy of the genetic code in two manners: having more than one tRNA (with a specific anti-codon) for a particular amino acid; and 'wobble' base-pairing, i.e. permitting non-standard base-pairing at the 3rd anti-codon position.
Source: Rfam
GCCCGGGUAGUGUAGAGGCCCAUCAUGGAGCCCUGUCGAGGCUUCGACUCGGGUUCGAAUCCCGACCUGGGCG